UUGUCUUUUAAAUAAAGACCAGUAUGAAUGGCAAGACGAAAGUUCAACUGUCUCCCUAAAUUAAUCAGUGAAAUUGAUCUUUCCGUGCAGAAGCGGAAAUAUAAUUAUAAGACGAGAAGACCCUAUGGAGCUUUAAACAUAUAAUCAAUUGUAAAACAUAAGAUCCGAAAGACUAAAUAUAAAAUAAAACAAUAUGAUUAAAAUUUUAGGUUGGGGCGACCACGGAAAAAAACAAAACCUCCGAGAUGAAGAGAAUAUCUUAAUUCAAGAACUACAAUUCUAAAAAAUAAAAUAUUUAACAUAAUUGAUCCAAUAUUUUUGAUCAACGAACCAAGUUACCCUAGGGAUAACAGCGCAAUCCUCUCCAAGAGUCCCUAUCGACGAGUGGGUUUACGACCUCGAUGUUGGAUCAGGACACCCCAAUGGUGCAGCCGCUAUUAAAGGUUCGUUUGUUCAACGAUUAAAGU
RNAcentral lists this ribosomal RNA (467 nucleotides) under Hynobius yiwuensis. Its description in RNAcentral is "partial 16S ribosomal RNA". It matches the Rfam family "Bacterial large subunit ribosomal RNA", at positions 1969 to 2594 of the family's 2925-position model. The record is from RNAcentral. Lineage: Eukaryota; Metazoa; Chordata; Amphibia; Caudata; Hynobiidae.